GGUUGAUCCUGCCAGUGUUAUAUGCUGAUGUCAAAGAUUAAGCCAUGCAUGUGUAAGUUUAAAGACCACGACGGAUGAAACUGCGGACGGCUCAUUACAACAGUGAUAGUUUCUUUGGUUAGUGCGAUAAGGAUAACUCUGCUAAUUGUAGAGCUAAUACUUGAGACUGUCUGCGCGCCCACGGGCGCACAGGGAGCCGGCGACGGCUAGGAAGCACCCCGGGCCGGAGGGACGGGGAGCGGACAAUUGUAGGGGUCGGAGACUGUGACAAGGAACCAAUGAGAAUUUCUGA
RNAcentral lists this ribosomal RNA (292 nucleotides) under uncultured eukaryote. RNAcentral's name for it is "partial 18S ribosomal RNA". It matches the Rfam family "Eukaryotic small subunit ribosomal RNA", at positions 6 to 310 of the family's 1831-position model. The record is from RNAcentral.